RNAcentral lists this small RNA (29 nucleotides) under Bombyx mori (domestic silkworm). RNAcentral's name for it is "ovarian small RNA-19286". Lineage: Eukaryota; Metazoa; Arthropoda; Insecta; Lepidoptera; Bombycidae. The record is from RNAcentral.
UAAGCUUGCUGAUUGGUUCACGGGAGUGA